Molecule: non-coding RNA, 76 nt
Organism: Phrynosoma platyrhinos (Desert horned lizard)
Lineage: Eukaryota; Metazoa; Chordata; Lepidosauria; Squamata; Phrynosomatidae
Source: the annotation of a GenBank genome assembly
GCCAGCGUGGCAUAGUGGUUUGUUUGAGUGUUGGACUAUGACUCUGGAGACCAGGGUUCGAUUCCCAACUCAGCCA